UACGGAGGGUGCGAGCGUUGUCCGGAUUUAUUGGGUUUAAAGGGUGCGUAGGUGGCUUUUUAAGUCAGUGGUGAAAUACAGCCGCUCAACGGUUGAGGUGCCAUUGAUACUGAAGAGCUUGAAACAAGUGGAGGCUGCCGGAAUGGAUGGUGUAGCGGUGAAAUGCAUAGAUAUCACCCAGAACACCGAUUGCGAAGGCAGGUGGCUACGUUUGAUUUGACACUGAGGCACGAAAGCAUGGGGAGCAAACAGG
This 253-nucleotide ribosomal RNA is filed under the name uncultured bacterium. RNAcentral describes it as "partial 16S ribosomal RNA". It matches the Rfam family "Bacterial small subunit ribosomal RNA", at positions 524 to 776 of the family's 1533-position model. The record is from RNAcentral.